AUAAAGGUAGCUUAGUGGACAUGGCAUCUGCCCGGUAAGCGGAACACUGUGGGUUCGAUUCCCAUUCCAGGACACUUUUAUU
This is a non-coding RNA of Cordylochernes scorpioides, 82 nucleotides long. Lineage: Eukaryota; Metazoa; Arthropoda; Arachnida; Pseudoscorpiones; Chernetidae. The record is from the annotation of a GenBank genome assembly.